AUUUAUUUAUUAUAAAAAGUAUAUUUGGCUUCCAACCAAAAGGUCUAACCUUAGAAUAAAU
This 61-nucleotide transfer RNA is filed under the name Kaestneriella sp. KaspPE. Its description in RNAcentral is "tRNA-Gly". The record is from RNAcentral. Lineage: Eukaryota; Metazoa; Arthropoda; Insecta; Psocodea; Peripsocidae.